This 892-nucleotide ribosomal RNA is filed under the name uncultured Gammaproteobacteria bacterium. Its description in RNAcentral is "bacterial SSU rRNA". It matches the Rfam family "Bacterial small subunit ribosomal RNA", at positions 8 to 933 of the family's 1533-position model. Lineage: Bacteria; Pseudomonadati; Pseudomonadota; Gammaproteobacteria. The record is from RNAcentral.
AGAGUUUGAUCCUGGCUCAGAACGAACGCUGGCGGCAGGCCUAACACAUGCAAGUCGAACGCUCCUAAUUUUUCGGAAGGAUGGAGAGUGGCAGACGGGUGAGUAACGCGUGGGAACCUACCUAGUGGUACGGAACAACACAGAGAAAUUUGUGCUAAUACCGAAUAAGCCCUUUUAUUAGGGGAAAGAUUUAUCGCCAUUGGAUGGGCCCGCGUUUGAUUAGCUAGUUGGUGAGGUAAUGGCUCACCAAGGCGACGAUCAAUAGCUGGUCUGAGAGGAUGGUCAGCCACACUGGGACUGAGACACGGCCCAGACUCCUACGGGAGGCAGCAGUGGGGAAUAUUGGGCAAUGGGCGCAAGCCUGAUCCAGCCAUGCCGCGUGAGUGAUGAAGGCCCUAGGGUUGUAAAGCUCUUUCAACGGUGAAGAUAAUGACGGUAACCGUAGAAGAAGCCCCGGCUAACUUCGUGCCAGCAGCCGCGGUAAUACGGAGGGCGCGAGCGUUGUUCGGAAUCAUUGGGCGUAAAGCGUACGUAGGCGGCUUGUUAAGUCGGAUGUGAAAGCCCCGGGCUCAACCUGGGAACUGCAUUCGAUACUGGCAAGCUAGAGUAUAGUAGAGGCAAGUGGAAUUCCGGGUGUAGCGGUGAAAUGCGUAGAUAUCCGGAGGAACAUCAGUGGCGAAGGCGACUUGCUGGACUAAUACUGACGCUGAGGAGCGAAAGCGUGGGGAGCAAACGGGAUUAGAUACCCCGGUAGUCCACGCCGUAAACGAUGUCAACUAGCCGUUGGGGGGCUUAGUCCCUUUAGUGGCGCAGCUAACGCAUUAAGUUGACCGCCUGGGAGUACGUCGCAAGACUAAACUCCAAAGGAAUUGACGGGGCCCGCACAAGCGGU